Bolinopsis microptera is the source of this 191-nucleotide long non-coding RNA. RefSeq lists it as uncharacterized. The transcript is spliced from 2 exons. Lineage: Eukaryota; Metazoa; Ctenophora; Tentaculata; Lobata; Bolinopsidae. The record is from RefSeq and is a predicted model, not a curated record.
GCAGCUUUUAAACAACCGAACGGUGACAGCGGCUGUGACAGUUCCUUCUCACAGCAGUACUGUGCCAAGUCUUGUGGCGCAUGCUCACUAGCUGUUUGUGAGGACAACCAAGGGAUACCGUGUGCAGGAUUUGUCGGAGCGAUUGGUGGAGAUUGCAGUAACAACAAAUAUGUAGCAAUGGGAUGCCCAAA